UUUGCAAAAGCUGAGCUCACAGCAAAAUCGACCAUGAGGCUGUCCCUGACAGUCUUUCUAGUCACUCUGGCCCUCCUCUGCUAUGAGGAAACUUCAUUUUGGGUAAUGACUUCUUCUACAAUAUCAAUCUUUUAAAAUUCGGUGGACCAUCAGAAGCUCAUGCGGCAAUGGUAAAAGUGAAGAAAUGUGUAACUACUUACCCCUACAAGGAGAGACUCAAUAUGUACGAAGUUGUG
Long non-coding RNA from Pteronotus mesoamericanus, 236 nucleotides. RefSeq lists it as uncharacterized. The transcript is spliced from 2 exons. The record is from RefSeq and is a predicted model, not a curated record. NCBI's taxonomy places the organism in Eukaryota, Metazoa, Chordata, Mammalia, Chiroptera, Mormoopidae.